GAUGAACGCUAGCGGCAGGCUUAACACAUGCAAGUCGAGGGGUAUUGGUUUUCGGACCAAGAGACCGGCGCACGGGUGCGUAACGCGUAUGCAAUCUACCUUUUGCAGAGGGAUAGCCCCAGAGAAAUUUGGAUUAAUACCUCAUAGUAUGUGAGAAUGGCAUCAUUUUCACAUUAAAGUCACAACGGCAAAAGAUGAGCAUGCGUCCCAUUAGUUAGUUGGUAAGGUAACGGCUUACCAAGACAAUGAUGGGUAGGGGUCCUGAGAGGGAGAUCCCCCACACUGGUACUGAGACACGGACCAGACUCCUACGGGAGGCAGCAGU
This 325-nucleotide ribosomal RNA is filed under the name uncultured bacterium. RNAcentral's name for it is "bacterial SSU rRNA". It matches the Rfam family "Bacterial small subunit ribosomal RNA", at positions 28 to 355 of the family's 1533-position model. The record is from RNAcentral.